This 439-nucleotide ribosomal RNA is filed under the name uncultured bacterium. RNAcentral describes it as "partial 16S ribosomal RNA". It matches the Rfam family "Bacterial small subunit ribosomal RNA", at positions 339 to 795 of the family's 1533-position model. The record is from RNAcentral.
CUACGGGUUGCUGCAGUGGGGAAUCUUGGACAAUGGGCGCAAGCCUGAUCCAGCCAUGCCGCGUGAGUGAAGAAGGCCUUAGGGUCGUAAAGCUCUUUCGCCAGAGAUGAUAAUGACAGUAUCUGGUAAAGAAACCCCGGCUAACUCCGUGCCAGCAGCCGCGGUAAUACGGAGGGGGUUAGCGUUGUUCGGAAUUACUGGGCGUAAAGCGCGCGUAGGCGGAUUAGUCAGUCAGAGGUGAAAUCCCAGGGCUCAACCCUGGAACUGCCUUUGAUACUGCUAGUCUUGAGUUCGAGAGAGGUGAGUGGAAUUCCGAGUGUAGAGGUGAAAUUCGUAGAUAUUCGGAGGAACACCAGUGGCGAAGGCGGCUCACUGGCUCGAUACUGACGCUGAGGUGCGAAAGUGUGGGGAGCAAACAGGAUUAGAUACCCUCGUAGUC